Molecule: long non-coding RNA, 745 nt
Filed under: Rattus norvegicus (Norway rat)
Lineage: Eukaryota; Metazoa; Chordata; Mammalia; Rodentia; Muridae
Description: long non-coding RNA NONRATT001483
Source: RNAcentral
CCCAGAUCCAACCCGCAAGCACUGUGCAAAUUUCAGCCUCGUGUUCAAUGAGGGGGAAGAGGGCUAGAGAGAGGGAGGAGAGUGAGCUUUCUGGAGGAAGCAGGCUGUCCAGGGAGUGAUUCAGGGAGGGAGAUGCCAAACAGAUAGACAGAAAACGUUGUUCGGAAAAGUUGUUUUUUCUUAUUUUUUUCGGGAGAACCCGCUUACACAGCUCUGUUUGUAAUUUUUUUCUUCAUGCUAAAAUCACACGGCCUAUUUAGACCCCCCUCCCGUGGCCACCCGGUCCCCCUUCGUGCCCCCGCCCCCCACCUUCUACCCCUUUCUCACGGGCGUGGGUGCCACCCAAGACACCCUGCCUCCGCCCGCCGCGCGCCGCCCGUCCUCCGGGGGCCCGUGUCAGGCCGAGCGCGACGACAGCGACUGCGAGGAGCCCGUGGAAGCCUCGGGCUUCGCCUCCGGGGAGGUCUUUGACUCCAGCCUCCCCCCCACGGACGACGAGGACUUUUACACCACCUUCCCCUUGGUCACGGACCGCACCACCCUCCUGUCACCCCGCAAGCCCGCGCCCCGACCUAACCUCAGGACAGAUGGGGCCACGGGCGCCCCCGGGGUGCUACUUGCGCCCUCCGCCCCAGCCCCCAACCUGCCCGCGGGCAAAAUGAACCACCGAGACCCACUGCAGCCGCUGCUGGAGAACCCACCCCUGGGGCCUGGGGUCCCCACGGCCUUCGAGCCGCGGCGGCCG